Molecule: ribosomal RNA, 246 nt
Filed under: uncultured bacterium
Lineage: Bacteria
Description: partial 16S ribosomal RNA
Rfam family: Bacterial small subunit ribosomal RNA
Source: RNAcentral
GGUGCAAGCGUUGCUCGGAAUCACUGGGCGUAAAGGGUGCGUAGGCGGCUUGGGAAGUUGGGUGUGAAAGCCCCGGGCUCAGCCCGGGAAGGGCACUCGAAACUGCCGAGCUGGAGUGCCGGAGGGGAGAGUGGAAUUCCUGGUGUAGCGGUGAAAUGCGUAGAUAUCAGGAGGAAUACCGGUGGCGAAAGCGACUCUCUGGACGGCAACUGACGCUGAGGCACGAAGGCUAGGGGAGCGAACGGG